This 1880-nucleotide long non-coding RNA is filed under the name Homo sapiens (human). RNAcentral's name for it is "HSALNT0181327". The record is from RNAcentral. Lineage: Eukaryota; Metazoa; Chordata; Mammalia; Primates; Hominidae.
GUAUAGUGGAUCCAGGAGGGGGCUGGAACAGUUGAGAGGACUGCUGAGGCCCAGGCAGAAAGUCAGACCUUGCAAAGUUUUCUGGAGGGACCCAGGUGGGUGGUGGAGGGCGAAGGUGAGGCUGGGAGGAGUGGAUUUAGACCAACUCCUCCCCAACCAUCAGGGGCCAGAGUGUCCCCACCAGCCACCAGCCUUUUCCCACAUGAGGUGGGACAGUGAACAAAGUUUUGGGCUAGCAGAACCAUCGGCAGGCAGCUGGGGUCCAAGUAUCUCCAAACCCAGCGGCACAUGGUGGGCCCGACAGGGUGUGUUACCAGUGAGGAUCCCAGAAGAAAGGGCUCCAGCUGAGCUCGUCUGUCACUCCUGCUCCUGAUAAUGGACGCAAUCCAGAAAUAACUUUUAUCACGGCCUAGCCUGCCUGGGUGGGCCUGGGUGGUGGCUGAGACUUGGAACCUUGCAGCUGAAGAUGACAUUGCAGGGACUUAAGAAUAUGAUUUUUUCCACUGUUGACUGCUCUCUGGUCUUUCGCACACUGCCACCUGCAGAGAAGAUAGAUGAGGGAAACACAGGUGGAGGGAUAAGGGCAGUCUCUUGUCUGGGAUGGCUUAAGACUAAUCUAGAAGAACAUGAUGUCACCACUUCAACUGAAAUCAAGAGAAGACAUCAAUCAGAAGGGCCUGUUGGCACUGUGGAGCAAUGAUGUCUAAAGACCUUGGAGGGGAUGAUUCAGCUACCCCAGGCAACUGCCUGACAUGUGGCACAGAGCAUGGAUGCCGGGGUGGGAGUACAUGUGCACCCUCAUUGCUUUUGGGUACUGUCAACUGAAGGUGGCACCAUGAUUGGAACACAGAUGGAUGAGAGCUGAUGCAUGGGCCCCCACACAUAGUUUAAGCCCAAGGAUGGGUGGUGGAUUUCUGAUAGCCUAGAGUUAUGAACUCAUCUUGUGUCUGACGUGACUGUCACCAAAAGAAGUGUGACAACACCACUUUGGCAGCCCAAUCUUUUGCAACCCCAUGAAAGAAAUACUGCAGAAGCCAGUAGAAGCAAUCCACUUGCCAGGUUGCCCUCCUGGAACCAGGGUCCACCCAUGAGAGCCAACGACAACCACAUCAGCCUUUGUGCUCCUUGGGGCAUCUGGUCAAUCUCCUGCAUGGGAUAGAAGCUCCGGGAAUACCCCAAAGGGGAGAAGCAGAGAAGAGGGCCUAUGCCCUUCCUUGUCCAGGCUUGGAGUGCCUCGCUUGGAUGAUACUGCUAGCCCCAACUGGUCCCAGACAUCAGAGAGGAAGUGUGGUCCUCCUGAGGUUUGGGGCCCAGGACAGGGGCUCUGCUUGCUCUGAUCUAAAAGCAGUACUGUUUCUAGGUUUACUACUCACUACUAACUACCUUAUUGAUUUUGUGCUUCUUGAUUUAAAAAUUCCAGAGAAAAUGGUUGUCUUAGCUAAUCAGUUUUGCUCUGAGCCAACGGUAUUCAAAGCAUGGCCUGUGGACCCCUAGUGGGUCUCCAAGACCCUCUCAGGGGUCUAUACAGUUAAAACUAUUUUUUUCAUGAUAAUAUUAAGAUGUCAUUUGCCUUUUUCACUAUGUUGACACUUGCAAUGAUGGUACAAAAGCUAUGGUGAAUAAAACUGCUGGCACCUUGGCACAAAUCAAAGCAAGGCCACCAACCAUUCUAAUAGUUGUAUUUUUUUUUUUUAUCAUCGGGCACUUUUUUUUCUUUUACUUAUUAUUAUUAUUAUACUUUAAGUUUUAGGGUACAUGUGCAUAAUGUGCAGGUUAGUUACAUAUGUAUACAUGUGCCAUGCUGGUGUGCUGCACCCAUUAACUUGUCAUUUAGCAUUAGGUAUAUCACCUAAUGCUAUCCCUCCCCUCUCCCCCCACCC